This 218-nucleotide ribosomal RNA is filed under the name uncultured bacterium. RNAcentral describes it as "partial 16S ribosomal RNA". It matches the Rfam family "Bacterial small subunit ribosomal RNA", at positions 113 to 334 of the family's 1533-position model. The record is from RNAcentral.
UAGUCUGGGAAACUGCCUGAUGGAGGGGGAUAACUGCUGGAAACGGUAGCUAAUACCGCAUAAUGUCGCAAGACCAAAGUGGGGGACCUUCGGGCCUCAUGCCAUCAGAUGUGCCCAGAUGGGAUUAGCUAGUAGGUGGGGUAACGGCUCACCUAGGCGACGAUCCCUAGCUGGUCUGAGAGGAUGGCCAGCCACACUGGAACUGAGACACGGUCCAG